GAUGAACGCUGGCGGCGUGCCUAAUACAUGCAAGUCGAGCGAACGGACGAGACGCUUGCUUCUCUGUUGUUAGCGGCGGACGGGUGAGUCACACGUGGAUAACCUACCUAUCAUUCUGGGAUAACUUCGGGACUCCGGAGCUAAUACCGGAUAAUCUUUUGAACCGCAUUGGUCAAUGGUGAAAGACGGUCUUGCUGUCUCUUCUAGCUGGUUCCGCGCUGCAUUAGCUAGUUGGUAAGGUAACGGCUUACCACGGCAACGAUGCAUAGCCGACCUGCCAGGCGGAUCGGCCGCCCGGGAGCUGGGACACGGACCUGACGACUGCGGGAGGCAGCAGAAGGGUAUCUUCCGCAACGGGCGAAAGCCUGACGGAGCAACGCCGCGUGAGUGAUGAAGGUCUUCGGAUCGUAAAACUCUGUUAUGAGUGAAGAACAGAUGUGUAAGGAAAUGUGCACAGCUUGACGGUACCUAAUCAGAAAGCCACGGCUAACUACGUG
RNAcentral lists this ribosomal RNA (497 nucleotides) under uncultured bacterium. RNAcentral's name for it is "partial 16S ribosomal RNA". It matches the Rfam family "Bacterial small subunit ribosomal RNA", at positions 28 to 507 of the family's 1533-position model. The record is from RNAcentral.